RNAcentral lists this ribosomal RNA (242 nucleotides) under uncultured bacterium. Its description in RNAcentral is "partial 16S ribosomal RNA". It matches the Rfam family "Bacterial small subunit ribosomal RNA", at positions 32 to 250 of the family's 1533-position model. The record is from RNAcentral.
AAUCAACGCUGGCGGCGUGCCUCAGACAUGCAAGUCGAACGCGAAAGGUUCCUUCGGGAACCGAGUAGAGUGGCGUCCGGGUGAGUAACACGUGGGUAAUCUACCUUCGGGUGGGGAAUAACGACCGGAAACGGUCGCUAAUACCGCAUAAUGCAGCGGCACCUAAUGGUGACAGUUGUUAAAGCGGGGGAGUCGCAAGAACCUCGCGCCUGAAGAGGAGCCCGCCGGCGGAUUAGCUAGUU